GUUGAACGCUGGCGGCGUGCCUAAUACAUGCAAGUCGAGCGAACAGACGAGGCGCUUGCUUCUCUGACGUGAGCGGCGGACGGGUGAGUAACACGUGGAUGACCUACCGAUAGGGCUGAGAUAAGGUCGGGAAACCGGAUCUAAUACCGGAUAAGAGAGUGAACCUGAGGGUUCUUUGGUCAUAGACGGUUUUGCUGAGCCUUAUACAGGUAUCCGAGUCGCAUUAGCUAGUUGGUAAGGUAACGGCUUACCAAGGCAACGAUGCGUAGCUGACCUGAGAGGAUGAUCAGUCACACUGGAACUGAGACACGGUCCAGACUCCUACGGGAGGCAGCAGUGGGGAAUAUUCCGCAAUGGGCGAAAGCCUGACCCAGCCAUGCCGCGUGAGUGAUGAAGGUCUUCGGAUUGUAAAACUCUGUUAUUAGGGAAGAACAAAAGUGUAAGUAUACCUUGCCGUCUUGACGGUACCUACAGAGAAAGCCCCGGCUAACUACGUG
RNAcentral lists this ribosomal RNA (497 nucleotides) under uncultured bacterium. RNAcentral describes it as "partial 16S ribosomal RNA". It matches the Rfam family "Bacterial small subunit ribosomal RNA", at positions 28 to 507 of the family's 1533-position model. The record is from RNAcentral.